GCCGGGAUAGCUCAGUUGGUAGAGCAGAGGACUGAAAAUCCUCUACUAAGUAUACACCCUUUUAAGUAAAACUCCCAUUCCGUAAGGCUUUGGGAGUUUUUUAAUUUAAAUUUACAAAGUCUUAUCGGUA
RNAcentral lists this transfer RNA (130 nucleotides) under Nodosilinea sp. WJT8-NPBG4. RNAcentral's name for it is "tRNA-Phe". RNAcentral also lists the same sequence under 1 other name. Lineage: Bacteria; Bacillati; Cyanobacteriota; Cyanophyceae; Nodosilineales; Nodosilineaceae. The record is from RNAcentral.